AAAUUGAAGAGUUUGAUCAUGGCUCAGAUUGAACGCUGGCGGCAGGCCUAACACAUGCAAGUCGAACGGUAGCACAGAGAGCUUGCUCUCGGGUGACGAGUGGCGGACGGGUGAGUAAUGUCUGGGAAACUGCCUGAUGGAGGGGGAUAACUACUGGAAACGGUGGCUAAUACCGCAUAACGUCGCAAGACCAAAGAGGGGGACCUUCGGGCCUCUUGCCAUCAGAUGUGCCCAGAUGGGAUUAGCUAGUUGGUGAGGUAACGGCUCACCAAGGCGACGAUCCCUAGCUGGUCUGAGAGGAUGACCAGCCACACUGGAACUGAGACACGGUCCAGACUCCUACGGGAGGCAGCAGUGGGGAAUAUUGCACAAUGGGCGCAAGCCUGAUGCAGCCAUGCCGCGUGUAUGAAGAAGGCCUUCGGGUUGUAAAGUACUUUCAGCGGGGAGGA
Molecule: ribosomal RNA, 449 nt
Filed under: Salmonella enterica
Lineage: Bacteria; Pseudomonadati; Pseudomonadota; Gammaproteobacteria; Enterobacterales; Enterobacteriaceae
Also listed under: 1 other name
Description: bacterial SSU rRNA
Rfam family: Bacterial small subunit ribosomal RNA
Source: RNAcentral